AACGAUGCUCUUGGAGGAUAGGGACAGAGACUGCGCGCCGCGCCACUCACUUUGUUCAGCAUCUGAAAGCCAAAAGCAAAGAGGAAAAUGAUAAUAAAACUAAAUGAUUCAGCUACCGAGCUGUAGCUAAGGGUCAGCCUUAUUUCUCCCGAAGCGACCCAGCAGCUAUGCUUACCUCGGGGUUAAUCUCCAUCGGCUUCAGCUGCAUCUUCGCGGAUGGCACCUGCAGACACAAACCCGAGGAGCCGAAAAAACAGCCGGUGGAGCCGCCCAGGCUGCUGUUAUAAAGCGCCGGCCUCGCUCACUGGGAAAGCCUGAGCAGGGGAGACGGGAGCAGAAACAAGCAGAGGAGGAAGGCCAAGAGGGCUCGAACUCCCCCAUGCACCGCACAGAAUGGUACAAGCCAAGCCCCCAAACCUUGCAGUCUCACUCGCCGAAGUGCUCCCCGGACUGGGCAUGGUAGCACGCACCUGUGAUUCCAGCAGCUGAGAGAGAGGCCGAGCCCACAUGGAAUCCAUUGUGCAGUGCUAGAGGAGGUCAGAAGAGGGCAUUGGAUCCCCCAGAACUGGAGUUAUACGGUAACCUCGUGGUGGUUGUGAACCACCAUGUGGAUGGAUAUUGAGUUCCAAACACUGGUCCUGUGCAAGAGCAUCCAGUGCUCUUAAGUGCUGAGCCAUCUCUUUAGCUCCAGUCUCUUAAAAAACAAACAAACGAACGAACAGCAAGGGAGCUGGGUAUGACAACACAUACUAUAAUUCUAGUACUCAGGAUGCUGAAACAGGAGGAUUGCCUGACUGGGAGAUAUAAGGAGAAUCUGUUGUCACCCCCACCCCUCCCCAUAAAGGCAGAAUAAAAGAACGUCCUAUAAACAAAUAAACAAACAACCCAAUAAAACAAAACCAAGAUCUCUCCACCUUUUCUUUGCUUUUUCAGACUUUGUAAUAAGGCCCUUUGGAGUGCAGGAUAUUCGGCAGGACAAGCAGAGAGGGAGACCAUCAGUUCUUUCUUUGAUCAAGAAGACUAUGUUCCUUAGCAAACUGGUGUGUAUUAUCUCUUAUGCAAUGAGCCUGGAAAGAGGGCACAGCCACCGAGGAUGGUACAGCAUGGAUGGAUGGUACGCUACAGAGACUCGGGAGCCCAACUGUGAGUGGCUGACUGGCAUGGUAGGUUCAGGGAAGAAUUGGCCUGUGAAGAAAAUGUUCUUGAAAAGUGAACAAGGUGCAGGAGGUAGGAGUGGGUCCUGGGCAAAGCAGGGGGUGCAUCCCAGCCUCAGGGAAUAGCACAGCAGAGGUCUGUUGAUGCAUGCGAGUGCAUGACCUGCUUGCCAAUAGACGAUCAAGAAUGGGCAAAGCAUCAUGGGUGAUGAGUGGGAGAGGGGAUGAGACAUUCCUUUCUCCCUGCUGAGACUUCCAUUGAACCGAUGAGUUCUGAAUAGAAGAUGCCCCCCCACCCCCCCACCAGUGUAGAAUCUGAAGGGAGGCAUAUAUUACCCUAUAUUACUCUGUGUUGGCGGCGAGCUAUCUGACAGCCAACCUUCCCAUACAUUUCAUUGGGCAUACACUAAUGACAGGAAGUUCCUUUUGCUUGUAUGCAAGAGAUGGCUCACACGAUGGAGAAUUUAAUCUUGUUAGUUUGUUAUUUAUGUGUCCUAAAUUUUGUUCAAUAAAAAUGAAACACUCCUAUG
Mus musculus (house mouse) is the source of this 1684-nucleotide long non-coding RNA. RefSeq annotates it as ubiquitin carboxy-terminal hydrolase L1, opposite strand. The transcript has 5 exons. The record is from RefSeq and is marked validated. NCBI's taxonomy places the organism in Eukaryota, Metazoa, Chordata, Mammalia, Rodentia, Muridae.